GACGAAGAUGACAUUGAAGAGGACAGCCCCCAAAAUAAUUCGUCUUGCAGUGUUACGUAGCAAUGGCAGCAGCUCUCUUCGGAGGAGCUGCUUUGGGUCCAGUCUUCGACCAACUUCUCAAAGCAGUUAUUGAUUUUGGCGUAAACAUUGCCACUUUCCGGUCCAAAUUCCUCAGCUUGAAGCAGACAUUGACCGACAUCAAACCAGUAUUCCAUGACAUUGAGAG
RNAcentral lists this unclassified non-coding RNA (226 nucleotides) under Hevea brasiliensis (rubber tree). The record is from RNAcentral. Lineage: Eukaryota; Viridiplantae; Streptophyta; Magnoliopsida; Malpighiales; Euphorbiaceae.